This 305-nucleotide ribosomal RNA is filed under the name uncultured bacterium. RNAcentral's name for it is "bacterial SSU rRNA". It matches the Rfam family "Bacterial small subunit ribosomal RNA", at positions 333 to 636 of the family's 1533-position model. The record is from RNAcentral.
CGCAGCCUACGGGAGGCAGCAGUGAGGAAUAUUGGUCAAUGGGAGGAAUCCUGAACCAGCCAUGCCGCGUGCAGGACGACGGCUCUACGAGUUGUAAACUGCUUCUGUACCGGGGUAAAAUGCCUUACGAGUAGGGUUUUGAAAGUACGGUACGAAUAAGGAUCGGCUAACUCCGUGCCAGCAGCCGCGGUAAUACGGAGGAUCCGAGCGUUAUCCGGAUUCAUUGGGUUUAAAGGGUGCGUAGGCGGUCUGUUAAGUCAGCGGUCAAAGCCCGGGGCUCAACCCCGGCCCGCCGUUGAAACUGG